Molecule: ribosomal RNA, 406 nt
Filed under: uncultured bacterium
Lineage: Bacteria
Description: partial 16S ribosomal RNA
Rfam family: Bacterial small subunit ribosomal RNA
Source: RNAcentral
AUUGAACGCUGGCGGCAGGCCUAACACAUGCAAGUCGAGCGAGCGGCGGACGGGUGAGUAAUGUCUGGGAAACUGCCUGAUGGAGGGGGAUACCUCCUGGAAACGGUAGUUAAUCCCACAUACCAUCAGACGUGCCCAGAGGGAAUUAGCUAGUGGGUGGGGUAACGGCUCACCUAGGCGACGAUCCCUGGCUGGUCUGAGAGGUUGACCAGCCAAACUGGAACUGAGACACGGUCCAGACUCCUACGGGAGGCAGCAGUGGGGAAUAUUGCACAAUGGGCGCAAGCCUGAUGCAGCCAUGCCGCGUGUGUGAAGAAGGCCUUCGGGUUGUAAAGCACUUUCAGCGGGGAGGCGUUACCCGCAGAAGAAGCACCGGCUAACUCCGUGCCAGCAGCCGCGGUAAUUC